GAUGAGCCAAGAUUGGCACCCUUUAAGGUGCUACAUAGUAUUAAACUGAAGAGUUUGAUCAUGGCUCAGAUUGAACGCUGGCGGCAGGCUUAACACAUGCAAGUCGAGCGGGGAAGGGUAGCUUGCUACUUUACCUAGCGGCGGACGGGUGAGUAAUGC
RNAcentral lists this ribosomal RNA (159 nucleotides) under Acinetobacter sp. RNAcentral's name for it is "partial 16S ribosomal RNA". The stretch from base 43 to 159 matches the Rfam family "Bacterial small subunit ribosomal RNA", at positions 1 to 116 of the family's 1533-position model. Lineage: Bacteria; Pseudomonadati; Pseudomonadota; Gammaproteobacteria; Moraxellales; Moraxellaceae. The record is from RNAcentral.